GGACUACUAGGGUUUCUAAUCCUGUUCGCUCCCCAUGCUUUCGCUUCUCAGUGUCAGUAAUGGCCCAGAGACCUGCCUUCGCCAUCGGUGUUCUUCCUGAUAUCUGCGCAUAUCACCGCUACACCAGGAGUUCCAGUCUCCCCUACCACACUCUAGCCUGCCCGUACCCACCGCACGCCCGAGGUUGAGCCUCGGGUUUUCACGGCAGACGCGACAAGCCACCUACAAGCUCUUUACGCCCAAUAAUUCCGGACAACGCUUGCGCCCUACGUAUUACCGCGGCGGCUGGCAC
RNAcentral lists this unclassified non-coding RNA (292 nucleotides) under uncultured fungus. Its description in RNAcentral is "sequence contains ITS1". The record is from RNAcentral. Lineage: Eukaryota; Fungi.